RNAcentral lists this ribosomal RNA (433 nucleotides) under uncultured bacterium. RNAcentral describes it as "partial 16S ribosomal RNA". It matches the Rfam family "Bacterial small subunit ribosomal RNA", at positions 29 to 507 of the family's 1533-position model. The record is from RNAcentral.
AACGAACGCUGGCGGCAUGCCUAACACAUGCAAGUCGAACGAGACCUUCGGGUCUAGUGGCGCACGGGUGCGUAACGCGUGGGAACCUGCCCUUAGGUUCGGAAUAACUCCCCGAAAGGGGUGCUAAUACCGGAUAAUGUCUUCGGACCAAAGAUUUAUCGCCUUUGGAUGGGCCCGCGUUGGAUUAGCUAGUUGGUAGCGUAAAAGCCUACCAAGGCGACGAUCCAUAGCUGGUCUGAGAGGAUGAUCAGCCACACUGGGACUGAGACACGGCCCAGACUCCUACGGGAGGCAACAGUGGGGAAUAUUGGACAAUGGGCGAAAGCCUGAUCCAGCAAUGCCGCGUGAGUGAUGAAGGCCUUAGGGUUGUAAAGCUCUUUUACCCGGGAUGAUAAUGACAGUACCGGGAGAAUAAGCGCCGGCUAACUCCGUG